UACGUAGGUGACCAGCGUUGUCCGGAUUUACUGGGCGUAAAGAGCGCGCAGGCGGUUGUUCAAGUCGAGUGUGAAAGCCCCCGGCUCAACUGGGGAGGGUCAUUCGAUACUGAUCGACUUGAAGGCAGGAGAGGGAAGUGGAAUUCCCGGUGUAGUGGUGAAAUGCGUAGAUAUCGGGAGGAACACCAGUGGCGAAGGCGACUACCUGGACCAGCACUGACACUGAGGCACGAAAGCGUGGGGAGCAAACAGG
RNAcentral lists this ribosomal RNA (253 nucleotides) under uncultured bacterium. RNAcentral describes it as "partial 16S ribosomal RNA". It matches the Rfam family "Bacterial small subunit ribosomal RNA", at positions 524 to 776 of the family's 1533-position model. The record is from RNAcentral.